Eurytemora carolleeae is the source of this 1389-nucleotide RNA transcript. It is a transcript of the gene named F-box/LRR-repeat protein 15, with no coding region annotated. NCBI's taxonomy places the organism in Eukaryota, Metazoa, Arthropoda, Copepoda, Calanoida, Temoridae. The transcript is spliced from 13 exons. The record is from RefSeq and is a predicted model, not a curated record.
CAAUUUCUAAAUCUUUGAACGAACCAAUUAAGAAAUGUUCUAAAUGCAAGAAGUAUUUUACAUUAUUUUUGUACAAAACUUCACUGUUUUAGAAUCAAAAGAUCAUGAGAACCAGUUGAGUUUAGAACUAAUAACAAUGUCGAUUAGGAGAAUACAAAUAACAGACCUAAGUUGGACGGAUAUAUUGUUUCCUAAUGUACUGCCUCUACUAAGUGUACAGGAUUGGUUUAAUCUGCGAUGUGUGAGUACAGAUAUGAACAGUAUGGUUGAGAUGUACUUGGCACAAAAUCGGACUUUGAACCUCAGUGGCUUAAAAAAACUUUCCGAACAAGCAUUUAAGAUCUUAACUGAAAAUGCAACCUGUCUAAAAUAUCUGAAUCUAUCUGGGUCCAAGAUUAUAACAGAUGAUCUUGUUCGGUCAAUACUAGAGAAUAAUCUUGAAUUGACGUACAUAAACCUAUCCGACUGCCAUCAUUGUACUGCAGAUCUUCUGCACACUCUUACUCUGAGGAAUACUCGGCUGUGUCAUCUAAUCCUUCAAGACUGCCACUGGGUGACUAGAGACUCAAUAGACUUCCACGCAACUCACCAGGGAUUGAGUCAGGAAAGAAAAUCUACACCGAGCUUAAUAGAAAUAAAUCUAACAGGAUGUUGGGAACUAACGGACGAUGUUGUGAAAAACUUUCUCUCUCGGUUCCCGAAACUCAAGGUUGUUGAAUUAGGAAAUAUUUACAGUUUAACGGAUACUACGAUGAAAGCGCUUGCCACCUACACUAGGGACCUUCAAGUUUUGAACAUUCAAGGAUGCUGGAGAAUUUCGGAUUCGGGACUCAGAACUGUAUCUGAAUACUGUCCAAACAUUGUGAAAUUAAAAGUAGAGGAUUGCAGAGCGAUAUCUGAAUCAUCUUUAGCUAGGCUCAGACAGAAGGAUGUUGAUAUUGAUCGAGCACUUGACAGAACACUUCUUAGAAUUCAGCAGAUGCGUCUACAGUAUAUGCAUGACAGGCUUGUCAUCUGAAAAUAAACCAAGAUGUCACAAACAAUGCAUUUAUUUACGUAGAUCUCAUAUAUUUUUGUGCUAAUUAAAGGCUAAUCAUUAAAUUUAAAUAUUCCAGUUUCCUAUUAAUUCCAAGGCCUAACUAACAAACAACCACAUCACUUUGAAGAAAUAACUAUUGAACGUAUUUUAAUUAUAUAUUAAUGAAUGUUUUGUUCUUAAAAUUAACUGAGAUUUCUUACCGCAGCUCUGAAGCUAUUUAAUACGCGCCCAACCUCAAAAUACUCUGUGAUCGAUUAAACAUUAUUGGUUGACAAUUUACUUUUUAAAAUUUACAUCUCCAAAUUUUUAUAGAUAUUAUUUUAUUGACAUUUUUAGUCAUCUUAGAAACU